UGAGGCGGUCGGGCGGUCGCUGUAAAGAGUGUUCGCACUUUUUGCAGAGGAAAGUCCGGGCUUCAUAGAGCAACGAUGCCGGAUAACGUCCGGGCGGGGCGACCCGACGGAAAGCGCCACAGAAAUUACACAACGGAAACGGUAUCGGGUGUCGAGCGUUGGGCAUUUGAGAAAACUCGAAUGUCGAAUGCUCGACACCCGCUAUGCCCCGAAAUGGUGAAAUGGUGCGGUAAGAGCGCACCGGCGAUGUGGAGACACGUCGGCCAGGCAAGCCCCAUUGGAAGCAAGGCUCGACAGGAGAGGUUAACGUGGCUCGCCGACUCUCCGGGUGAACCGCACGAGGAGCCGGGCAAUCGGCUUCCCAGAGAGAUGACCGCACAAACACAGAACCCGGCUUAUAGACCUCCUCACUCC
RNAcentral lists this RNase P RNA (414 nucleotides) under Chthonomonadaceae bacterium. RNAcentral's name for it is "Bacterial RNase P class A". It matches the Rfam family "Bacterial RNase P class A". Rfam says of the family: Ribonuclease P (RNase P) is a ubiquitous endoribonuclease, found in archaea, bacteria and eukarya as well as chloroplasts and mitochondria. Its best characterised activity is the generation of mature 5'-ends of tRNAs by cleaving the 5'-leader elements of precursor-tRNAs. The record is from Rfam by way of RNAcentral. Lineage: Bacteria; Bacillati; Armatimonadota; Chthonomonadia; Chthonomonadales; Chthonomonadaceae.